Molecule: long non-coding RNA, 1246 nt
Organism: Apis laboriosa (Himalayan honeybee)
Lineage: Eukaryota; Metazoa; Arthropoda; Insecta; Hymenoptera; Apidae
Exons: 4
Source: RefSeq, a predicted model, not a curated record
UUUUAUUGACGAAACACUUGAAUUUCUUGAAAUCAACUCGAAGUUUAAUCCAACCAAUGGUACAUGCGCAUAAUCGCGUUCUCGUUGCUUGUCACGGGGCCCGCUACGUUUCCGUGAGUGCGAUUUACGCCGUGAGCGUGGUCGUCGGUCGAAGCCAGGAUAAGCGGCGUUUUAUGGGGCCCCAUGCGCCGCUCACUCCAUGGCGGAAGGGACGCACUUUGUUCCGCGGCUGCGAAUGUAUCCCCAGGCCUCGAUCCACCCACAAGGAAGCACUUGAAGAAAGAGAGAGAUGCCUUGUCGCGGAAAGAAGAUUGUGGUCCAUACGACGUGAAACUAACAUCGUCUAUUUCUGGACACCCUGUAUGAGAAGAUAAGUCGAAAGACAGCAGCGGAGAAGCAGCUAGGCGCAAGAAGGAGUGACGGAGGGAGGCAGAAGAAGAGAGACUCGGCAGAAAAAGCAGAUGUUCAUCAUAUAAAACACCAUCUAAUUAUAAGAAAAACAACCAACAACUUAUGACACAAUAGUAAUAAGAAAAUUGAUAAUACAUUGGAGAAUGAUUGGUUCCAACAAGGAUUCUUGGAAGGGCGGGGUCCGCCUUCUAAUUCAUAGGCGGUGUAAUUUGUGCGUCGCCGACUAAUUGGCGGCGUUUCGCGAUUUAUGCUGUGACACCACUCGUAACAUCUGCCCCCGCUGCACAACGCCAUCACAUCCCUCGGAUGCCCCGAAGGAGCCGCAUGAUACCGGCCAAUCAUACAUAUUAAUGGAACUCACGGGCCAACGCCGAGCCCUGAAAUUGUUCGUGCAAUCGAUUCGAGCCGGUCGAAUCGAGAUGCCAACAUGAGAUAAACCUCUAGUCUAACGUUUUCCAACCUUUUUCGGGAAUCCAUCCCAAUCCAAAGAGUUUUUACAUUUUAUAUUAUUGAAUCAUGUUUUUAGAAUAAAUUUCAAUAGUUUAGUUUAGAUUAGAUUAUUAUUUUUUAGUUUAGAUUAUAAAACAAAUUUUUUUCAUCUUAGAAAGUAAGAGAGAGCAGAGUUAAUGUAAAAAUAUAUAAUAUUUGCUAUUUCAUUUUUACAGAUUUAAUGCUAUUGUGCAAAACAAUAAUUUGAGUGACCAGUGCAUUUGGAUCUUUCUAAUAUUUCAAACAUAUUUUAUGGAAUAUUUUUUGGAAAUAAAAAUAUGGCACAGAAUGUUAAUUUUUAAAAAAUCUGUGAUGAAGACUAGUGAUUAAUUCGAUAUUUUAAAAA